GACGAACGCUGGCGGCGUGCUUAACACAUGCAAGUCGAACGGAAAGGCCCUGCUUUUGUGGGGUGCUCGAGUGGCGAACGGGUGAGUAACACGUGAGUAACCUGCCCUUGACUUUGGGAUAACUUCAGGAAACUGGGGCUAAUACCGGAUAGGAGCUCCUGCUGCAUGGUGGGGGUUGGAAAGUUUCGGCGGUUGGGGAUGGACUCGCGGCUUAUCAGCUUGUUGGUGGGGUAGUGGCUUACCAAGGCUUUGACGGGUAGCCGGCCUGAGAGGGUGACCGGCCACAUUGGGACUGAGAGACGGCCCAGACUCCUACGGGAGGCAGCGAUGGGGAAUAUUGCACAAUGGGCGGAAGCCUGAUGCAGCAACGCCGCGUGCGGGAUGACGGCCUUCGGGUUGUAAACCGCUUUCGCCUGUGACGAAGCGUGAGUGACGGUAAUGGGUAAAGAAGCACCGGCUAACUACGUG
This 468-nucleotide ribosomal RNA is filed under the name uncultured bacterium. RNAcentral describes it as "partial 16S ribosomal RNA". It matches the Rfam family "Bacterial small subunit ribosomal RNA", at positions 28 to 507 of the family's 1533-position model. The record is from RNAcentral.